Molecule: ribosomal RNA, 490 nt
Filed under: uncultured bacterium
Lineage: Bacteria
Description: partial 16S ribosomal RNA
Rfam family: Bacterial small subunit ribosomal RNA
Source: RNAcentral
AUUGAACGCUGGCGGAAUGCUCUACACAUGCAAGUCGAACGGGAGUAGCAAUACUCUAGUGGCGAACGGGUGAGUAAUACAUCGGAACGUACCCUGACGUGGGGGAUAACACAUCGAAAGGUGUGCUAAUACCGCAUACGUCCUGAGGGAGAAAGCGGGGGAUCGCAAGACCUCGCGCGUUUGGAGCGGCCGAUGGCGGAUUAGCUAGUUGGUGGGGUAAAGGCCUACCAAGGCGACGACCCGUAGCUGGUCUGAGAGGACGACCAGCCACACUGGGACUGAGACACGGCCCAGACUCCUACGGGAGGCAGCAGUGGGGAAUUUUGGACAAUGGGGGAAACCCUGAUCCAGCCAUUCCGCGUGAGUGAAGAAGGCCUUCGGGUUGUAAAGCUCUUUCGGCAGGAACGAAACGGUGGGGGCUAAUAUCCCUUAUCAAUGACGGUACCUGAAGAAGAAGCACCGGCUAACUACGUGCCAGCAGCCGCGGUAA